Molecule: long non-coding RNA, 1297 nt
Filed under: Salmo salar (Atlantic salmon)
Lineage: Eukaryota; Metazoa; Chordata; Actinopteri; Salmoniformes; Salmonidae
Description: lncRNA (ENSSSAG00000083907.1)
Source: RNAcentral
AGCUUGACGACGUCCUCGUGCGAAGCCUUGGAGACGUUUAUGUCGUUCACGGACAGGAUGUGGUCACCGGAGCGGAGACCCACGUAGUCCGCCGGACUUCCUUUUAGAAUGCAGUUGAGGACACAGGGGCCCUGGCCAGAGAGGGUGAACCCAUACCCUGCCCUCCCCGGGCCACCUCCACCCCCCGGAUACGCCCACCCUGGUGGGGGUGAGGAGGCGAAGGUAAGGUUGUGAGACCCCCAUGACCUCCAUGACGUCUCUUGGACGAGGUGUCCGUCUGUCUGAACAUUGUUUUGACUCUUGUUCUGUUAUUCAAUGUUAUUUAUCCAACCCUUAUGUUACCAGGUAAGUUGACUGAUGUUAUUUAUCUAACCCUUAUGUUACCAGGUAAGUUGACUGAUGUUAUUUAUCUAACCCUUAUGUUACCAGGUAAGUUGGCUGAUGUUAUUUAUCCAACCCUUAUGUUACCAGGUAAGUUGACAUGUUAUUUAUCCAACCCUUAUGUUACCAGGUAAGUUGACUGAUGUUAUUUAUCCAACCCUUAUGUUACCAGGUAAGUUGACUGAUGUUAUUUAUCCAACCCUUAUGUUACCAGGUAAGUUGACUGAUGUUAUUUAUCUAACCCUUAUGUUACCAGGUAAGUUGACUGAUGUUAUUUAUCUAACCCUUAUGUUACCAGGUAAGUUGACUGAUGUUAUUUAUCCAACCCUUAUGUUACCAGGUAAGUUGACUGAUGUUAUUUAUCCAACCCUUAUGUUACCAGGUAAGUUGACUGAUGUUAUUUAUCCAACCCUUAUGUUACCAGGUAAGUUGACUGAUGUUAUUUAUCCAACCCUUAUGUUACCAGGUAAGUUGACUGAUGUUAUUUAUCUAACCCUUAUGUUACCAGGUAAGUUGACUGAGAUCAUAUUGUAAUUUGGGCCUACAACAACAACCAGGAAAGAGGAGAGUGGUUGAAAAGACUGAUGUGACUUUUGUACUCUCAGUUCCAUUCAAUGAGCUUUACUGGCAUGGUAAGUCAAUGAGAUGUAUUGUAAAAGAGAACUGUUGUUUCUUUUGAUGAGGCUUAAUCCCUCUCCUCUCCUCCCUUCUUUUUCCCUUCUUCUCUAUCCUCUCUCUCUCUCUCGUUCCACUGUCAAGGGCUGUCUGUCUCCCUCUAAGGCUUUUCCUCCCUCUCUCGUUCUAGUACUGAGGGAUUUGUCAGGAUGGUGAGAGCAUGACGUCAGCCCCUCCACUCCAACGCCAGCCCUGCCAUGCUGGUGCCACUCUCUGAGGAUGAUGUGACUUGUCACAGGUC